AAUCAGGUUGAUGGAAAAAUUGUUCCCUGUAAGAAGAUGCAGUAACUCUUUCAUGCCACUAGGGUAUUAAUAUUAGGGGGAAAGAAGCAACUGAUUAGAAUCCCAGAAGAGCUGUUAAAUCCCAGGAGAGAAUCAGAUGCAAAGAGGCUGGGGAGCAUUGGAGAGCAAAUAGAAUAUUUAAUGAAGAUUACUAUCUCUGUCACAACAUGAGUGCAGAAGCAUCUUCAGUUGGAGAGCCAUUGCCUCUUGCUGUGAAAUAUUUGGGAAUCUUCAGAAACCAUGAAGAAUAACCUGCUAAAGGGUUUUAUUUUGUCAGUCAAGCUGGAAUGCAGUGGCGUGAACAUUGCUUACUGCAGCUUCAAUCUCCUGAGGUCAAACAAUCUUCUCACCUCAGCCUCGCAAGCAGCUAGGACUACAGGCAUGUGCCACCACGCCCCACUAAUUUUUUAAUUUUUCUUUUGUGGAGACGCAGUCUUGUUAUCUUGAACAGGCUGGUCUUGAACUCUUGGAGUCAAGCAAUCCUUCUGCCUCAGACUCUCAAAGUGCUGGGAUUACAGGCAUGAGCCACCACAUUCAGCCAGGAAAAGUUUUUGUACAUUUAAAAAAUUAUAGGAUAUUUGUGUAUAUAGCUUUGCUGGUUUGACUUCCUAGAAUAGCUCCCAGGAACACAAAGUACUUAAUUGAUUAGUAUAAAAUGAUUAUGUCAUACUCACAUGUUGGUUUUCUAAAUGCACUUAAUUUUUCUGAUUAAGAACUGAAAACUAUGCUGACCAGGGACACUGUAGACCUGUGGCUCAUUUUUGCAUAAAGGUUAUGUGUUUAUUGUCUGAUUUGGUCAUGCCUAUAGGCCAAUAGUGUUUUAUUUUGAAAUGUUUCAAACUUACAAUAAGGCACAAAAAUAAUAUAAUAGACACCAUGGUCUCAGCAUCCAGAUUUAAGAGAUGUUAAGAUGUUACUACGUUUGCUUCAGACUUUUCUAACACACACACAAAAUACUAGAGAUGCAGCCAAAACCCCAUCUAUCAAUCCCUUCCUCUUCUCUCCAGAGGUAGCUAUUACAUUGAAGUCGGUAUGUAAUAUUUCCAUGUUUGGCUUUGUACAUGUUCUACUUAUGUAUGUAUUCAUUAACUUCGUACUACUUUUUAAUGUUCUUAUAUAGUUUCAUUAGUAACAUCCCAGAGGGCAUAUCAUUUGUGAGUUUGAUUUUCUCACUCUUCAUUUCUUUUUUGGGGAUAAUUUAUUCUUGGUACAUGUAGAUCUCCUCACUCCACUACAAUUGCUUUAUGGUACUUAAUAUAUGAAUAAACUAUGGUAUAUUUAUU
This 1322-nucleotide long non-coding RNA is filed under the name Homo sapiens (human). Its description in RNAcentral is "HSALNT0140128". Lineage: Eukaryota; Metazoa; Chordata; Mammalia; Primates; Hominidae. The record is from RNAcentral.